GACGAACGCUGGCGGCGUGCUUAACACAUGCAAGUCGAACGGAAAGGCCCUGCUUUUGUGGGGUGCUCGAGUGGCGAACGGGUGAGUAACACGUGAGUAACCUGCCCUUGACUUUGGGAUAACUUCAGGAAACUGGGGCUAAUACCGGAUAGGAGCUCCUGCUGCAUGGUGGGGGUUGGAAAGUUUCGGCGGUUGGGGAUGGACUCGCGGCUUAUCAGCUUGUUGGUGGGGUAGUGGCUUACCAAGGCUUUGACGGGUAGCCGGCCUGAGAGGGUGACCGGCCACAAUGGGACUGAGGUACGGCCCAGACUCCUACGGGAGGCAACAGUGGGGAGUAUUGCACAGUAGGCGGAAGCCUGAUGCAACGGCGCCGCGUGCGGGAUGAUGGCCUUCGGGUUGUAAACCGCUUUCGCCUGAGACGAAGCGUGAGUGACGGUAAUGGGUAAAGAAGCACCGGCUAACUACGUG
Molecule: ribosomal RNA, 468 nt
Filed under: uncultured bacterium
Lineage: Bacteria
Description: partial 16S ribosomal RNA
Rfam family: Bacterial small subunit ribosomal RNA
Source: RNAcentral